AUGAACGCUGGCGGCGUGCCUAAUACAUGCAAGUCGAGCGAACAGACGAGGAGCUUGCUCCUCUGACGUUAGCGGCGGACGGGUGAGUAACACGUGGAUAACCUACCUAUAAGACUGGGAUAACUUCGGGAAACCGGAGCUAAUACCGGAUAAUAUAUUGAACCGCAUGGUUCAAUAGUGAAAGACGGUUUUGCUGUCACUUAUAGAUGGAUCCGCGCCGCAUUAGCUAGUUGGUAAGGUAACGGCUUACCAAGGCGACGAUGCGUAGCCGACCUGAGAGGGUGAUCGGCCACACUGGAACUGAGACACGGUCCAGACUCCUACGGGAGGCAGCAGUAGGGAAUCUUCCGCAAUGGGCGAAAGCCUGACGGAGCAACGCCGCGUGAGUGAUGAAGGUCUUCGGAUCGUAAAACCCUGUUAUUAGGGAAGAACAAAUGUGUAAGUAACUAUGCACGUCUUGACGGUACCUAAUCAGAAAGCCACGGCUAACUACGUG
This 496-nucleotide ribosomal RNA is filed under the name uncultured bacterium. RNAcentral describes it as "partial 16S ribosomal RNA". It matches the Rfam family "Bacterial small subunit ribosomal RNA", at positions 29 to 507 of the family's 1533-position model. The record is from RNAcentral.